CGAAAGGCUUUGAAAGUGCAAAGUAGUUUCCUGUUUUCCAACAGAGAGGGAGGAUCAUCGGCUGAAAAUCUUCCACGGUACAGACAGAGAGAUGAAUUUCACACUGGAGCUGCGUUCCUGAAGACAGUAGGGAGCGACGUACUUGUGCGUUAAACAACAUUGAGUGUCUGUCAGAUGACAGAAAUCAGGGUGGUACCACGGAAAGAUCGCUUCGUCCCUAUU
This 222-nucleotide non-coding RNA is filed under the name Bacillota bacterium. RNAcentral's name for it is "Firmicutes bacterium T-box sequence". It matches the Rfam family "T-box leader". Rfam says of the family: Uncharged tRNA acts as the effector for transcription antitermination of genes in the T-box leader family. Lineage: Bacteria; Bacillati; Bacillota. The record is from RNAcentral.